UACGAAGGGGGCUAGCGUUGCUCGGAAUUACUGGGCGUAAAGGGCGCGUAGGCGGACAGCUUAGUCAGGGGUAAAAGCCCAGGGCUCAACCUUGGAACUGCCUUUGAUACUGGCUGUCUUGAGUACGGGAGAGGUGUGUGGAACUCCGGGUGUAGAGGUGAAAUUCGUAGAUAUUCGGAAGAACACCAGUGGCGAAGGCGACACACUGGCCCGUUACUGACGCUGAGGCGCGAAAGCGUGGGGAGCAAACAGG
RNAcentral lists this ribosomal RNA (253 nucleotides) under uncultured bacterium. RNAcentral's name for it is "partial 16S ribosomal RNA". It matches the Rfam family "Bacterial small subunit ribosomal RNA", at positions 524 to 776 of the family's 1533-position model. The record is from RNAcentral.